Molecule: ribosomal RNA, 273 nt
Filed under: Clostridioides difficile
Lineage: Bacteria; Bacillati; Bacillota; Clostridia; Peptostreptococcales; Peptostreptococcaceae
Description: partial 23S ribosomal RNA
Rfam family: Bacterial large subunit ribosomal RNA
Source: RNAcentral
GGUCGCCUCCCAAAAGGUAACGGAGGCGCUCAAAGGUUCUCUCAGUACGGUCGGAAAUCGUACGUAGAGUGUAAAGGCAAAAGAGAGCUUGAUUGCAAGACAUACAGGUCGAGCAAGGAUGAAAAUCGGACUUAGUGAUCCGGUGGUUCUGCGUGGAAGGGCCAUCGCUCAACGGAUAAAAGCUCCCCUGGGGAUAACAGGCUUAUCUCCCCCAAGAGUCCACAUCGACGGGGAGGUUUGGCACCUCGAUGUCGGCUCAUCACAUCCUGGGGC